GACGAACGCUGGCGGCGUGCUUAACACAUGCAAGUCGAACGGAAAGGCCCUGCUUUUGUGGGGUGCUCGAGUGGCGAACGGUUGAGUAACCCGUGAGUAACCUGCCCUUGACUUUGGAAUAACUUCAGAAAACUGGGGCUAAUACCGGAUAGAAGCUCCUGCUGCAUGGUGGGGGUUGGAAAGUUUCGGCGGUUGGGGAUGGACUCGCGGCUUAUCAGCUUGUUGGUGGGGUAGUGGCUUACCAAGGCUUUGACGGGUAGCCGGCCUGAGAGGGUGACCGGCCACAUUGGGACUGAGAUACGGCCCAGACUCCUACGGGAGGCAGCAGUGGGGAAUAUUGCACAAUGGGCGGAAGCCUGAUGCAGCAACGCCGCGUGCGGGAUGACGGCCUUCGGGUUGUAAACCGCUUUCGCCUGUGACGAAGCGUGAGUGACGGUAAUGGGUAAAGAAGCACCGGCUAACUACGUG
RNAcentral lists this ribosomal RNA (468 nucleotides) under uncultured bacterium. RNAcentral's name for it is "partial 16S ribosomal RNA". It matches the Rfam family "Bacterial small subunit ribosomal RNA", at positions 28 to 507 of the family's 1533-position model. The record is from RNAcentral.